AGUGAACGCUGGCGGUAGGCCUAACACAUGCAAGUCGAACGGCAGCACAGUAAGAGCUUGCUCUUACGGGUGGCGAGUGGCGUACGGGUGAGGAAUACAUCGGAAUCUACUUUUUCGUGGGGGAUAAGGUAGGGAAACUUACUCUAAUACCGCAUACGACCUACGGGUGAAAGCGGUGGAUCUUCUGACCUUUCGCGGUUGAAUGAGCCGAUGUUGGAUUGGCUAGUUGGCGGGGUAAAGGCCCACCCAGGCGAGGAUCCGUAGCUGGUGUGAGAGGAUGGUCAGCGGCAUUGGAAGUGAGCCAGGGUCCAGACGCCUACGGGACGCCGCAGUGGGGAAUAUUGGACAACGGGGGCAAGCCUGAUCCAGCGAGACCGAGUGGGUGAAGAAGGCCUUCGGGUUGUAAAGCCCUUUUGUUGGGAGAGAAAAGCAGCAGGUUAAUACGCCGCUGUUCUGACGGUAACGAAAGAAUAAGCACCGGCUAACUUCGUG
RNAcentral lists this ribosomal RNA (492 nucleotides) under uncultured bacterium. Its description in RNAcentral is "partial 16S ribosomal RNA". It matches the Rfam family "Bacterial small subunit ribosomal RNA", at positions 29 to 507 of the family's 1533-position model. The record is from RNAcentral.